AUUGGGACUGAGAUACGGCCCAGACUCCUACGGGAGGCAGCAGUGGGGAAUAUUGCACAAUGGGCGGAAGCCUGAUGCAGCGACGCCGCGUGGGGGAUGAAGGCCUUCGGGUUGUAAACUCCUUUCGACAGGGACGAAGCGUAAGUGACGGUACCUGUAUAAGAAGCACCGGCUAACUACGUGCCAGCAGCCGCGGUAAUACGUAGGGUGCGAGCGUUGUCCGGAAUUACUGGGCGUAAAGAGCUCGUAGGUGGUUUGUCGCGUCGUCUGUGAAAUUCCGGGGCUUAACUCCGGGCGUGCAGGCGAUACGGGCUGACUUGAGUGCUGUAGGGGAGACUGGAAUUCCUGGUGUAGCGGUGAAAUGCGCAGAUAUCAGGAGGAACACCGAUGGCGAAGGCAGGUCUCUGGGCAGUAACUGACGCUGAGGAGCGAAAGCAUGGGUAGCGAACAGGAUUAGAUACCCUGGUAGUCCAUGCCGUAAACGGUGGGCGCUAGGUGUAGGGGGCUUCCACGUCUUCUGUGCCGUAGCUAACGCAUUAAGCGCCCCGCCUGGGGAGUACGGCCGCAAGGCUAAAACUCAAAGGAAUUGACGGGGGCCCGCACAAGCGGCGGAGCAUGUGGAUUAAUUCGAUGCAACGCGAAGAACCUUACCUG
This 654-nucleotide ribosomal RNA is filed under the name Corynebacterium striatum. RNAcentral describes it as "bacterial SSU rRNA". It matches the Rfam family "Bacterial small subunit ribosomal RNA", at positions 312 to 977 of the family's 1533-position model. Lineage: Bacteria; Bacillati; Actinomycetota; Actinomycetes; Mycobacteriales; Corynebacteriaceae. The record is from RNAcentral.